GGAACGUACCUUUUGGUUCGGAACAACUGAGGGAAACUUCAGCUAAUACCGGAUAAGCCCUUACGGGGAAAGAUUUAUCGCCGAAAGAUCGGCCCGCGUCUGAUUAGCUAGUUGGUGAGGUAAUGGCUCACCAAGGCGACGAUCAGUAGCUGGUCUGAGAGGAUGAUCAGCCACAUUGGGACUGAGACACGGCCCAAACUCCUACGGGAGGCAGCAGUGGGGAAUAUUGGACAAUGGGCGCAAGCCUGAUCCAGCCAUGCCGCGUGAGUGAUGAAGGCCCUAGGGUUGUAAAGCUCUUUUGUGCGGGAAGAUAAUGACGGUACCGCAAGAAUAAGCCCCGGCUAACUUCGUGCCAGCAGCCGCGGUAAUACGAAGGGGGCUAGCGUUGCUCGGAAUCACUGGGCGUAAAGGGUGCGUAGGCGGGUCUUUAAGUCAGGGGUGAAAUCCUGGAGCUCAACUCCAGAACUGCCUUUGAUACUGAAGAUCUUGAGUUCGGGAGAGGUGAGUGGAAC
Molecule: ribosomal RNA, 512 nt
Filed under: Bradyrhizobium sp.
Lineage: Bacteria; Pseudomonadati; Pseudomonadota; Alphaproteobacteria; Hyphomicrobiales; Nitrobacteraceae
Description: bacterial SSU rRNA
Rfam family: Bacterial small subunit ribosomal RNA
Source: RNAcentral